UCCUCCCUCAAACCUCGUGUUUGGUGUUGGACCGCGUUGGUUAAACGACCAACUGGUCUCAAAGACAAUGACGGCGUCCGUGGGACCCUCGGUGCAACGAGCUUCUUAGGAGCACGCGUCGAGUUUCAAGGACCUUCCGGGCCGGUCUUGACCUCUAUCUUCUUA
RNAcentral lists this unclassified non-coding RNA (165 nucleotides) under uncultured Chaetothyriales. Its description in RNAcentral is "sequence contains ITS2". Lineage: Eukaryota; Fungi; Ascomycota; Eurotiomycetes; Chaetothyriales. The record is from RNAcentral.